RNAcentral lists this ribosomal RNA (484 nucleotides) under uncultured bacterium. RNAcentral's name for it is "partial 16S ribosomal RNA". It matches the Rfam family "Bacterial small subunit ribosomal RNA", at positions 30 to 507 of the family's 1533-position model. The record is from RNAcentral.
AUUGAACGCUGGCGGCAGGCCUAACACAUGCAAGUCGAGCGGAUGAAGGGAGCUUGCUCCUGGAUUCAGCGGCGGACGGGUGAGUAAUGCCUAGGAAUCUGCCUGGUAGUGGGGGAUAACGUCCGGAAACGGGCGCUAAUACCGCAUACGUCCUGAGGGAGAAAGUGGGGGAUCUUCGGACCUCACGCUAUCAGAUGAGCCUAGGUCGGAUUAGCUAGUUGGUGGGGUAAAGGCCUACCAAGGCGACGAUCCGUAACUGGUCUGAGAGGAUGAUCAGUCACACUGGAACUGAGACACGGUCCAGACUCCUACGGGAGGCAGCAGUGGGGAAUAUUGGACAAUGGGCGAAAGCCUGAUCCAGCCAUGCCGCGUGCGUGAAGAAGGUCUUCGGAUUGUAAAGCACUUUAAGUUGGGAGGAAGGGCAGUAAGUUAAUACCUUGCUGUUUUGACGUUACCAACAGAAUAAGCACCGGCUAACCUCGUG